AACGAACGCUGGCGGCAGGCCUAACACAUGCAAGUCGAACGCUCGUAGCAAUACGAGAGUGGCAGACGGGUGAGUAACACGUGGGAACCUUCCCUAUGGUUCGGAAUAGCUCAGGGAAACUUGGGGUAAUACCGGAUAAGCCCUUCGGGGAAGGAUUUAUCGCCAUUGGAUGGCCCGCGUCGGAUUAGCUAGUUGGUGAGGUAACGGCUCACCAAGGCAACGAUCCGUAGCUGGUCUGAGAGGAUGAUCAGCCACACUGGGACUGAGACACGGCCCAGACUCCUACGGGAGGCAGCAGUGGGGAAUAUUGCGCAAUGGACGAAAGUCUGACGCAGCGACGCCGCGUGUGGGAUGACGGUCUUCGGAUUGUAAACCACUGUCGGGAGGGACGAAUACGCCGC
RNAcentral lists this ribosomal RNA (401 nucleotides) under uncultured bacterium. RNAcentral's name for it is "bacterial SSU rRNA". It matches the Rfam family "Bacterial small subunit ribosomal RNA", at positions 29 to 457 of the family's 1533-position model. The record is from RNAcentral.